GUGUUGGUGGUUUAGUGGCAGGGGUAUGCCCGGUCCCUUUUCGAACCCGGUAGCUAAGUCUGUUAAUCGCUGAUGGUACUGCAUGCGGGAGCGUGUGGGAGAGUAAGUCGCUGCCAACA
This 119-nucleotide ribosomal RNA is filed under the name Corynebacterium caspium. The record is from RNAcentral. Lineage: Bacteria; Bacillati; Actinomycetota; Actinomycetes; Mycobacteriales; Corynebacteriaceae.